Molecule: ribosomal RNA, 468 nt
Filed under: uncultured bacterium
Lineage: Bacteria
Description: partial 16S ribosomal RNA
Rfam family: Bacterial small subunit ribosomal RNA
Source: RNAcentral
GACGAACGCUGGCGGCGUGCUUAACACAUGCAAGUCGAACGGAAAGGCCCUGCUUUUGUGGGGUGCUCGAGUGGCGAACGGGUGAGUAACACGUGAGUAACCUGCCCUUGACUUUGGGAUAACUUCAGGAAACUGGGGCUAAUACCGGAUAGGAGCUCCUGCUGCAUGGUGGGGGUUGGAAAGUUUCGGCGGUUGGGGAUGGACUUGCGGCUUAUCAGCUUGUUGGUGGGGUAGUGGCUUACCAAGGCUUUGACGGGUAGCCAGCCUGAGAGGGUGACCGGCCACAUUGGGACUGAGAUACGGCCCAGACUCCUACGGGAGGCAGCAGUGGGGAAUAUUGCACAAUGGGCGGAAGCCUGAUGCAGCAACGCCGCGUGCGGGAUGACGGCCUUCGGGUUGUAAACCGCUUUCGCCUGUGACGAAGCGUGAGUGACGGUAAUGGGUAAAGAAGCACCGGCUAACUACGUG